GAUGAACGCUGGCGGCGUGCCUAAUACAUGCAAGUCGAGCGAAUGGAUUAAGAGCUCGCUCUUAUGAAGUUAGCGGCGGACGGGUGAGUAACACGUGGGUAACCUGCCCAUAAGACUGGGAUAACUCCGGGAAACCGGGGCUAAUACCGGAUAACAUUUUGAACCGCAUGGUUCGAAAUUGAAAGGCGGCUUCGGCUGUCACUUAUGGAUGGACCCGCGUCGCCAUUAGCUAGUUGGUGAGGUAACGGCUCACCAAGGCAACGAUGCGUAGCCGGCCUGAGAGGGUGAUCGGCCACACUGGGACUGAGACACGGCCCAGACUCCUACGGGAGGCAGCAGUAGGGAAUCUUCCGCAAUGGACGAAAGUCUGACGGAGCAACGCCGCGUGAGUGAGGAAGGCUUUCGGGUCGUAAAACUCUGUUGUUAGGGAAGAACAAGUGCUAGUUGAAUAAGCUGGCACCUUGACGGUACCUAACCAGAAAGCCACGGCUAACUACGUGCCAGCCGCCGCAGUAA
Molecule: ribosomal RNA, 516 nt
Filed under: uncultured bacterium
Lineage: Bacteria
Description: partial 16S ribosomal RNA
Rfam family: Bacterial small subunit ribosomal RNA
Source: RNAcentral